This 644-nucleotide long non-coding RNA is filed under the name Nicotiana benthamiana. RNAcentral's name for it is "long non-coding RNA (NBEN_LNC030053)". The record is from RNAcentral. Lineage: Eukaryota; Viridiplantae; Streptophyta; Magnoliopsida; Solanales; Solanaceae.
AUUAAUCAAAUUUUAGAUCCAACUUUAAACCAAUCACGCCUAAUUUCAAAUCCUCUACUAACACUACUUUAAGCUAAUGAUUUAGCCAGAAUCAAAUAUACAAGAAAUCCAGCACUACCUAACAGAAUCUAGCCAUCAAAAUAAGAAGGAAAAGCAUUAUACUAAACUAACAUGAUUUCAUUCUCAAUUACAACCCAUGUUAAACAAACACAUUAAUUAAAACUCCAAGAUCUACAUAGUGAUGCUAUAACUGAAAGGAGAAGAGGUGAAGUCUGCCAAACAACAUCCCAUUUAUCUCAUUUUCAACUCAUGAUUCAAAUUACACAUCAAGUGAGAUCCAUAAGGAUCAAAAAACACCUGGGAAAAGAGGAUACAAAAAAGAAAUGAGAUUCAGUAGGCUUAGUAGUUGGCAGCGAGUAACACAGCUCCCAGAUUCACGAAAAAAUAAGCAAAAGAACCAACUCAAACCAAGUGGUGCAAUACAAACCCCAAAACCCAACUUCGUAGCUAUUUUUAAACCUGAAAUCAAUUCAUAUCAAUCUCAAAUAAACUAGAAGGUAUUUUCAGGACAGGAAACUAUCAAAAAUCAAUAAAGAAAUCAAUAAAAUAGUAGAAUAUGGUCGUCUGUGUAUAUUUGAAAUUCU